RNAcentral lists this long non-coding RNA (1157 nucleotides) under Vulpes vulpes (red fox). RNAcentral's name for it is "lncRNA (ENSVVUG00000004662.1)". Lineage: Eukaryota; Metazoa; Chordata; Mammalia; Carnivora; Canidae. The record is from RNAcentral.
AAUUGAGUCGCAGAGAGUAAAGGGCCAUUUUUAGGUAGUAAGUGGUAGAAACCAGAUACUUACUGUCAUGAUAUUUCUUUCCACUCAACUGUGUUGCCUCCUAGAAAACGAGAAGAGGGCUUCAUAUAGCAUUCCAAUCCACACAACUACGAACUCCUGUGUCACCCACCUGGUAACUGAAUCUCCUCCCAACGUCCCUGCCCAGCCUCUGCUUUCACACCACCAGAAGAGGGGAGCUCAGUACUGCCCUGAACAACCUGUUUCCUCCUUGGUCAGCUCUGACUAUGGUGAGGUCUUAGAUUGAAUGAACCUCCACCCCUGUCACUUCUGUCAAGAGUCCAGAGGCUCUCUUUGAGGACCCCCAAGACUUCAUCACCCUUUCUCUCCUGGAUGCUCACCCAAGACCUGAUAACAGCUUUUAUACCCCCUUACUUCCAGGCCCUGUAUCGCAGUCCAGGGGGCACGGCAUGGAGGCCCCUGGCCUUCCUGCUGUCCCACCCUGGGACUGCCCCAGUGUGUCUAUACCCGUGGAAGACUGGCGCCCAGAAUAGCGUUCCUGCCCAGCGGGCUGAGAUGUCACGAAGUCUGACUCUUACAGAAACUGGGUCUUUGGGAACCUGCUCAAACAGCUGGAGCAGGAAGGACUGGCUCAGAAGAGGACAAGGCCACAGUGGAAACAGACUUUGUGAUUUCUGAGGCUGAGAGGAUGAGGAGGCCUCGUGGUGGCAGUGUGAUCAUUCAGAAGACACCUAUCCUCCUAGCUGCUGGACAGGGCCGCUGGGCUGGAGCCAGAGUGCCUGGAUCCUAUUCCCAACCAUGUUGAAAAACUCCUAUGACAUUAGACCCAUCAUAUCUCCUUUCUGGGCCUUAGUUUCCAUGUGUGGAUGAUGGCAUGGGGGCUCCUUCAGCCUCUGCAAGAGUCAGUAUGACAUAGUGGUGGGAAGUGAGAGCUCUUGGUGUGAAUCCAGCUCUGCCUCUCCUAGCUCUUUGACUGUAGGCCAUCUUGGUUUUCUCAUCUAUAAAUGGGAUAAUGACAAAGUGCUCCAUAUGCCUGGUCCUACUCAGUGUUCAAUACAUGCUGGUUGUUGUGGUGGACAUCUUGGGCUCAUCCCCCUCCAUAUUCUGAGAUUCUACUAGUGGGUGUGGGAGAAAUGGGG